GGGAUAGCCCAGGGAAACCUGGAUUAAUACCGGAUGAGACGGGACCCGCGAUGGCGGGAUCCGGGAAAGGCGCUGCGGCGCCGCCGGGGGAUCGAGUCUGCGUCCCAUUAGCGUAGACGGCGGGGUAACGGCCCACCGUGGCGACGAUGGGUAGCCGGCCUGAGAGGGUGGACGGCCACAUUGGAACUGAGACACGGUCCAGACUCCUACGGGAGGCAGCAGCUAAGAAUCUUCCGCAAUGGGCGAAAGCCUGACGGAGCGAACGCCGCGUGAACGAAGAAGGCCGUGAGGUUGUAAAGUUCUUUUCGGGAAGGGGGAACAACCGUGGCAGGGAAUGGCCGCGGGAUGACGUGAAUCCCGGAAUAAGCCCCGGCUAACUACGUGCCAGCCGCCGC
This 395-nucleotide ribosomal RNA is filed under the name uncultured bacterium. Its description in RNAcentral is "bacterial SSU rRNA". It matches the Rfam family "Bacterial small subunit ribosomal RNA", at positions 140 to 518 of the family's 1533-position model. The record is from RNAcentral.